Molecule: ribosomal RNA, 443 nt
Filed under: uncultured bacterium
Lineage: Bacteria
Description: partial 16S ribosomal RNA
Rfam family: Bacterial small subunit ribosomal RNA
Source: RNAcentral
CCUACGGGAGGCAGCAGUGGGGAAUAUUGGGCAAUGGGCGCAAGCCUGACCCAGCAACGCCGCGUGAAGGAAGAAGGCUUUCGGGUUGUAAACUUCUUUUCUCAGGGACGAAGAAAGUGACGGUACCUGAGGACUCAGCCACGGCUACCUACGUGCCAGCAGCCGCGGUAAUACGUAGGUGGCAAGCGUUAUCCGGAUUUACUGGGUGUAAAGGGCGUGUAGGCGGGGAAGCAAGUCAGAGGUGAAAACCACGGGCUCAACCUGUGGCCUGCAUUUGAAACUGUUUUUCUUGAGUACUGGAGAGGCAGACGGAAUUCCUAGUGUAGCGGUGAAAUGCGGAGAUAUUAGGAGGAACACCAGUGGCGAAGGCGGUCUGCUGGACAGCAACUGACGCUGAGGCGCGAAAGCGUGGGGAGCAAACAGGAUUAGAUACCCGUGUAGUC